This 456-nucleotide ribosomal RNA is filed under the name Triticum aestivum (bread wheat). Its description in RNAcentral is "partial small subunit ribosomal RNA". The record is from RNAcentral. Lineage: Eukaryota; Viridiplantae; Streptophyta; Magnoliopsida; Poales; Poaceae.
AUGGCGCCUGGAAUCCUGAAAGGUGGGUUAUUAUGCUUUGUUUGGCUAUUAAGCCAUACCUGCAGGACCAAAUAUAUACACAUGGUAUGGUUAUCCCUGCAGGAUCAUGCUUGUGUGGGAAUAAUAGAUUCUAAGGCAAACAAAAACUGGGAUUAUACUGAUAUUAUGUUAUAUAUGUACAUCCGUUGUCGCUGUAUUGGUAUUUCUAUAUUUUUUCCAUCUGUACAAAAAACAAAAGCACCAAAUAUAUUCUCACCUCCGCUAUGCCAGGGGCACUUAGACAAGAAAGGAGAUGGUUUCAGAUAUGAAGUUAUAAAAAAAUUCAAGCCAUCAUCAAGAAAUGGAGGAAGCUAUAGAUCCUGGAGCAUAGAACAUAUAAAUCACGCUACGCAACCCGCCAAUCUGGAGGCAUUGUCGCGAUGCAGCAGUAUGGGCCGCUUGAUUCUUUUACGAUAG